UACGUAGGGCGCAAGCGUUAUCCGGAAUUAUUGGGCGUAAAGAGCUCGUAGGCGGUUUGUCGCGUCUGCUGUGAAAGACCGGGGCUCAACUCCGGUUCUGCAGUGGGUACGGGCAGACUAGAGUGAUGUAGGGGAGACUGGAAUUCCUGGUGUAGCGGUGAAAUGCGCAGAUAUCAGGAGGAACACCGAUGGCGAAGGCAGGUCUCUGGGCAUUAACUGACGCUGAGGAGCGAAAGCGUGGGGAGCGAACAGG
This 253-nucleotide ribosomal RNA is filed under the name uncultured bacterium. Its description in RNAcentral is "partial 16S ribosomal RNA". It matches the Rfam family "Bacterial small subunit ribosomal RNA", at positions 524 to 776 of the family's 1533-position model. The record is from RNAcentral.